GUUACGUGGGUGGUAUGCUGUCUCAUAACAGGUAAGGAGCUUGGCGAAUUGAUAUAUAACUGUAGUGCGGCCAAAAAACCUGCAUAUAUCUGAAGAAUAAUUAACAUUCUAAAUGGCCUAUCACAAUAAGAAAUUCAGCCAAAUAGUAUUAGUUUUAAACUAUGUUAUGUCAUCUUCUGAACAUUCAUGUGCUGCUUAUUAAACAUGUUAUAUUUAGGAUAAAGGAAGAAACAUAUGUACACAUUUACUACAGUUUUAUUUGAUGUUUUGAUUUGUCAGUAGUUAAGUAGAUCAUGUGUAUUUACUGUAAUUCAAAGUGUUUCUUCAAAAUGCCAUGCAAGAGUUUCAGUUGCAAAGAAGCGGCAUUUGAGUAGGAAACCACAGGGCAGAGUGGGUAGGCUGAGAUGAGCGUGUGAGUUUCCACCAUUAGGUUUACACCAACAAUGAAUCUCUGAGCUGAUGUAUGGUUAUAGUUUCCAGGUAAUAUUAAAUAAAUCUAUGUCAAAAUCAAAAUAUAUAAAUGUACUUAUAUUAUUAUCAGUACUAUUUAGGAAAAAGGAAGAAGCUACUUGUAGCUCAUAAGCCUGGUAAUAGUGUUUAAGCAAUCGAGAAACUAGCGAAAUUCCUUUAACAAAAUUUGAAUGCCAGUGCUUUCUAUAUGAGAAUGUUCAUAAUUUCUUCUCUCAAGUUGGUAACCCAUAUGCACCCCCCACAGGGAGCUACACAACAGCCUGCCCCCUCCAUAUCAGUGCCUCCCACACUACCCUCCAGUAGGCCCACCCACUGAUGUACUGUAGGCUAGACAGUGCAGACACCUUCAAAAGAAUGACAGUACUUGCAUCACCUACUUGUAUCACAGUACUUGCUAGGAUCUACUUAAAGUGCAGAUGAACAGCUAAACAAAGCCGCUGGAAAUUCAAGGAGCUUACAUCUAUAUUUCUCCAUAAACCAUAGAAGGAUGUAAUCAGAAGAUGCUUUUAAGGAAGGAAGACUUCUGAUUUUCAAGAUAUCAAAUUUUGGAUAAUAUUUCCUGACCUGAGAAAAAGGAUUCCCAGAAACUUUGAACACAGAAACUGUGAAUAUAGACGAUUUCUCUCGUGAUUCAACUUCUCAAAAUAUCAUUAUUAGAGUUCAAUUUAGAAGAGACAUUCUUUUUUUUCACUCAUAAUACACCUACAUAAACAUGACACACCUUGUGCAUGACGUACCAGAAAUCUUCUUGAGUCUGAUAAAAGUGAAAAACAUUUUUGUGCUCAUUGCUAUACUCUACUUGGUCAAGAGUUUAUUUGAACUGGACUUUGUAUGCUCAUGUGAACCUGAAAUAGCAAAGCAUGAAGUUGGAUUUAUACUCUUGCCUAUCCUCAUAAUAUGUCUAGUCGUUUAUCUAUUUGAAUCUAAUAUUCAAAAUGUAACUAAAUGUCAAUUUUGCAACGUGUUACUAUACAUAAUUAGUAUCGCCUGCACUGCAGCAUCAUUCUGGUUCAGCGCUGUCCUCUUAGAGGGAGAUUGGUGGUUGUGUGUUUUCACAAAGAAUGUGACUGAACACCAGAGGAUUUCCUGCAAGGAUCCACGUAACUUCACCACAGAGGAGAAAAUGAUUAAUGCACUCUAUAAAAAUGAUUCAUUUUUCUGGGGGUUGGUUGUCAUCACAGCAUCAUUACUUCUGUGGUGUUUCAUUCCUCGACUUGCUCGGUGCUGCA
This is a long non-coding RNA of Alosa sapidissima (American shad), 1700 nucleotides long. RefSeq lists it as uncharacterized. The transcript is spliced from 2 exons. NCBI's taxonomy places the organism in Eukaryota, Metazoa, Chordata, Actinopteri, Clupeiformes, Clupeidae. The record is from RefSeq and is a predicted model, not a curated record.